GGGUCGGUAGCUGAGAUGGUGUAGCACCUGGCUGAAAACCAGGGGACGCGGAUUCGAGCACCGCCCGCCCCA
This 72-nucleotide transfer RNA is filed under the name Planctomycetota bacterium. RNAcentral describes it as "Planctomycetes bacterium (groundwater metagenome) tRNA-Phe". It matches the Rfam family "tRNA". Rfam says of the family: Transfer RNA (tRNA) molecules are approximately 80 nucleotides in length. Their secondary structure includes four short double-helical elements and three loops (D, anti-codon, and T loops). RNAcentral also lists the same sequence under 1 other name. Lineage: Bacteria; Pseudomonadati; Planctomycetota. The record is from RNAcentral.